Long non-coding RNA from Brassica napus (rape), 407 nucleotides. RefSeq lists it as uncharacterized. NCBI's taxonomy places the organism in Eukaryota, Viridiplantae, Streptophyta, Magnoliopsida, Brassicales, Brassicaceae. The transcript has 2 exons. The record is from RefSeq and is a predicted model, not a curated record.
UCUCUCACUCGAUCUUAUGGUUUGUUCUAGAGAGAGAAAAUGGCUUAAAACCGAUAAAUUUUUUGAGUGUGUGAGGUGAGUGUGGAAGGCUUUUGCGUGGCUUGAUCCUUGCUCUAGGAUCAGUUGUGGAGUGCUAGGAGUGGUGGUAAGACCUUAGUUGACCGUUUGUAACCUUAGGGGAUUGGGCGUUUGCGGGGUGUGGAGGACGAGGCCAGUCGUAGAUUUCCGUUGUUGUUUGCAAGGCGCAAGAUGUUGAUGUUUUCACUCGUUUUGUUUUUCAUGGGUACCCGUUGACUCGUUUGUUUUAUUUUCUGCUGCGUUUAUCUUUAAGGACUUUAGUCGAGUUCCCGACUUUGUAAAAUAAAUAAAAUUAUGUUUGUUUUAAUAAAAUCCCCGUGGAACGCUGA